Molecule: ribosomal RNA, 200 nt
Filed under: uncultured bacterium
Lineage: Bacteria
Description: partial 16S ribosomal RNA
Rfam family: Bacterial small subunit ribosomal RNA
Source: RNAcentral
AUUGAACGCUGGCGGCAGGCCUAACACAUGCAAGUCGAGCGGCAGCGCGGGGCAACCUGGCGGCGAGCGGCGAACGGGUGAGUAACGCGUAGGAAUCUACCCAGUAGCGGGGGAUAGCCCGGGGGAAACUCGGAUUAAUACCGCAUACGCCCUAAGGGGGAAAGCAGGGGAUCGUAAGACCUUGCACUAUUGGAAGAGCC